AAACUUCAGCUAAUACCGGAUAAGCCCUUACGGGGAAAGAUUUAUCGCCGAAAGAUCGGCCCGCGUCUGAUUAGCUAGUUGGUGAGGUAAUGGCUCACCAAGGCGACGAUCAGUAGCUGGUCUGAGAGGAUGAUCAGCCACAUUGGGACUGAGACACGGCCCAAACUCCUACGGGAGGCAGCAGUGGGGAAUAUUGGACAAUGGGCGCAAGCCUGAUCCAGCCAUGCCGCGUGAGUGAUGAAGGCCCUAGGGUUGUAAAGCUCUUUUGUGCGGGAAGAUAAUGACGGUACCGCAA
RNAcentral lists this ribosomal RNA (295 nucleotides) under Bradyrhizobium elkanii. RNAcentral's name for it is "partial 16S ribosomal RNA". It matches the Rfam family "Bacterial small subunit ribosomal RNA", at positions 154 to 483 of the family's 1533-position model. The record is from RNAcentral. Lineage: Bacteria; Pseudomonadati; Pseudomonadota; Alphaproteobacteria; Hyphomicrobiales; Nitrobacteraceae.